This 614-nucleotide ribosomal RNA is filed under the name Trichaster melanocephalus. RNAcentral's name for it is "eukaryotic LSU rRNA". The stretch from base 219 to 373 matches the Rfam family "5.8S ribosomal RNA". Lineage: Eukaryota; Fungi; Basidiomycota; Agaricomycetes; Geastrales; Geastraceae. The record is from RNAcentral.
CAAGGUUUCCGUAGGUGAACCUGCGGAAGGAUCAAUACUGAAGGAAACCAAGGGUUUUGAGACUGCGUCCUUCAAUUGGGCGUGUGCUCGACUCUUACUCUUUCAUAUCCCAUACACACCUUUGUGCACCAAGGGGACCCUUGUGUCCCCCUUUUUUUCAUAAAUACCGAGUUAUAUGCAUGUAUAGUUUGUAUACUCUACGGAGUUAUUAUAAAUACAACUUUCAACAACGGAUCUCUUGGCUUUCGCAUCGAUGAAGAACGCAGCGAACGUGCGAAACGUAAUGUGAAUUGCAGAAUUCAGUGAAUCAUCGAAUCUUUGAACGCAUCUUGCGCUCCUUGGUAUUCCGAGGAGCAUGCCUGUUUGAGUGUCGUGAAUAACUCUCAAUUUCAAAUAUUUUAGAAUAUCUGACAUUGGACUUGGGCGUUGUCGUGUUUCUACGACUCGUCCUAAAUGCAUUAGCGAUCUGCCCUGAUCACACACAAUGUGAUAAGUAAAAAAUAAAGCAUUGUUAUGGUUGGGUUUGAAAGAUGGCUUCUAACCGUCGUAAUGACAAAUAAAAGACCAUGUCGUUUGACCUCAAAUCAGGCAGGACUACCCGCUGAACUUAAGCA